Molecule: ribosomal RNA, 253 nt
Filed under: uncultured bacterium
Lineage: Bacteria
Description: partial 16S ribosomal RNA
Rfam family: Bacterial small subunit ribosomal RNA
Source: RNAcentral
UACGGAGGGUGCGAGCGUUGCUCGGAAUCACUGGGCGUAAAGGGUGCGUAGGCGGGUCUUUAAGUCAGGGGUGAAAUCCUGGAGCUCAACUCCAGAACUGCCUUUGAUACUGAGGAUCUUGAGUACGGGAGAGGUGAGUGGAACUGCGAGUGUAGAGGUGAAAUUCGUAGAUAUUCGCAAGAACACCAGUGGCGAAGGCGGCUCACUGGCCCGUAACUGACGCUGAGGCACGAAAGCGUGGGGAGCAAACAGG